Molecule: transfer RNA, 35 nt
Filed under: Inga feuillei
Lineage: Eukaryota; Viridiplantae; Streptophyta; Magnoliopsida; Fabales; Fabaceae
Description: partial tRNA-His
Source: RNAcentral
AUGUAGCCAAGUGGAUCAAGGCAGUGGAUUUGUGA